GAUGAACGCUGGCGGCGUGCCUAAUACAUGCAAGUCGAGCGAACGGACGAGAAGCUUGCUUCUCUGAUGUUAGCGGCGGACGGGUGAGUAACACGUGGAUAACCUACCUAUAAGACUGGGAUAACUUCGGGAAACCGUAGCUAAUACCGGAUAAUAUUUUGAACCGCAUGGUUCAAAAGUGAAAGACGGUCUUGCUGUCACUUAUAGAUGGAUCCGCGCUGCAUUAGCUAGUUGGUAAGGUAACGGCUUACCAAGGCAACGAUGCAUAGCCGACCUGAGAGGGUGAUCGGCCACACUGGACCUGAGACACGGUCCAGACUCCUACGGGAGGCAGCAGUAGGGAAUCUUCCGCAAUGGGCGAAAGCCUGACGGAGCAACGCCGCGUGAGUGAUGAAGGUCUUCGGGUUGUAAACCGCUUUCGCCUGUGACGAAGCGUGAGUGACGGUAAUGGGUAAAGAAGCACCGGCUAACUACGUG
Molecule: ribosomal RNA, 477 nt
Filed under: uncultured bacterium
Lineage: Bacteria
Description: partial 16S ribosomal RNA
Rfam family: Bacterial small subunit ribosomal RNA
Source: RNAcentral